This 252-nucleotide ribosomal RNA is filed under the name uncultured bacterium. RNAcentral's name for it is "partial 16S ribosomal RNA". It matches the Rfam family "Bacterial small subunit ribosomal RNA", at positions 524 to 776 of the family's 1533-position model. The record is from RNAcentral.
UACGUAGGGGGCUAGCGUUAUCCGGAAUUACUGGGCGUAAAGGGUGCGUAGGUGGUUUCUUAAGUCAGAGGUGAAAGGCUACGGCUCAACCGUAGUAAGCCUUUGAAACUGGGAAACUUGAGUGCAGGAAAGGAGAGUGGAAUUCCUAGUGUAGCGGUGAAAUGCGUAGAUAUUAGGAGGAACACCAGUUGCGAAGGCGGCUCUCUGGACUGUAACUGACACUGAGGCACGAAAGCGUGGGGAGCAAACAGG